Molecule: non-coding RNA, 4479 nt
Organism: Macaca mulatta (Rhesus monkey)
Lineage: Eukaryota; Metazoa; Chordata; Mammalia; Primates; Cercopithecidae
Source: RefSeq, a predicted model, not a curated record
UCCAGAUGAGGGGGUUUAAAUCACCUCCAAGUCACUAGGCUGAAAACCGCUGUCAUUUCUCCUGGAACAAAUACUCUCUACCUUGCUCUAGCACCACAUUAUUAAAUGGAGAUAACAAUAUUUAUGCCCUUCCCAGGGGGUAACAGGGAUGGACAGCUCUCCUGGGUUGGGCCUGCUUGGAUGAGGAAGUGACAAGCAGUGGGGAAACAGGGAUUUAUGUGUGAGUGAACAGCAGGCAGCUGUCUCCUCGGCCACGGCUGCCACCGGGAACUACAAGGCAACGUGAAGCCUGUGCUAGAAAAACACCUCCUGGGCCGGUCCUGCAAGCAGCCAAGAUGCGGUUAAAGAUUCCAAUUCUGAUGGGAUCCCAUGUCUCCUAGGUUACAGCUGAGGACUGUGUUUUCCUUUAUUACAACAGAAAAUGUGUGUUCCCCAGGGACUGUUCAAACAUCUGUAUGAGGUCUGUGUCCCAAAUGACCCUUUCUGAGACCCUCCACGACCAGCCUCCAGGGAAGCCUGUGACCCAGGGAGAAGAAGGCUCACUCUACUGAGCCACUGCCAAGCUUUGGAGUCAGUGUAACUGAGCCCCAUCAUCGGCAUCAGUGCUUCAUAGCUGUGGGAACUCAGGCAAGUCAUUCAGCCUCUCAGAUUCCUCACCUAUAAAAUAAAAAUAACAAAACCCAGUCCACUGCAUCAAGCCGUGAGGCUUCAAUGUGACAACGCAUUUCAAAUGUCUGUCGCAUUAAAAGUUAAUUCUUGUUUCCUAAGCCAGGAAAGCAGAUAUGUAGCAUAAAGACAAUGCAAGAUGUUCUUUGAAGAAGUAACCUUACAGGACUUGAAAGAAAUAAACUUGAGAUAAGAGUUGAAACCUAAAAUGUACCAGAGGGGCAUCUCCUUGGGUGCAAGUAUCCAAGCUCAGGACUGAUUCUCCUUCCAUUCAUUAGAGCCCACCAGCGCCUCAGUGCAGGUGUGCUUCCCUCUGACCAGACUGGUUUUUAUGCAGCUAUUUGGGGAGAUGAGAGCUGAUUUACUGCUGGUGAGAAACUCCAUCACUUGAAGGCUGAAAUGACUCUGGGGGCUCAAGAGCAACUUUUCAGCUGAAAGGCUUGCGGACCGUCAGGGUGAAAGUACAGCCUGGGGCUGAGGCAGCCAUCAGGGACAAAGGGAGGAAUUCAGCACAAUUGGCCACACAGUUCUAAAUGGUGAGAAGGACGUGCUGCUACGGACACAUGCAGUCGGGAGGUCCAGGUGCAAGAACACACAAUUAACGAGGCCGAAAGGGCUGGGAAUGACAUUUUACCUGCCAUUCUGGAUUUUGACAGCUGACCCCUGGCCAGGGCCGAGGCAGCUGGCCCGUGUGAAAUGCUGCCACACCAUCUGAGGUCAUCUCUUGUCACAGUGUUCCAAAAGAAACCAAGGUGGCAUUUUCUGUUAUGAACCCACACAAGGUGUAACUUAAAAGGAGCCUCCAAGGCCUACAGAAAGGACUGUAACUUUUAGAAACAACCAAAAUAACCAAUAAUUAUAAAUUUAGCAAAUUACCCUAUAGAACAUUGGACAGCCACUAACAAUAAUAAGUGAAAGACUGCAGAAUUACAGAAGGUGCUUAUUUUAUAAGGCAACAUAUUAAAAUGAUACAAACCGUAUGAUUUCAGCUAUACAAAGUGUCUGCAUGUGAGACGAGAUCAAAUAUUGAGCAUGUAUCAUAUACUGAGCUGUCUUCAAUCAUAAUUUUAUUUAACCCUACAACAGCUAGAGAUAUUUUUAUUAUUCCCAUUUUGUAGAUGAUAAAAAUGAAACUCAGAGAGGCUGAAUAACUUGUCCAAGGGUAGUAUGUUUCAGACCCAUGACUUUAACAAAGUCAGCAUCCUUCUGGUAUAUCUCAGCCCCAGAUGCCCCAUUCUUCCUCUUCUCUUCAGUAUCUGUCCUCCGACAAGAAUGCUGUAAUGGACAUUUACACAUCAGUAUAAAUUUAAGCCAUUACUUGUCUCUGGGUGUUUAAGAGUAAAAUGAAAAGGGAAGUUCCCUUUCUAAUGAAUCUGAGGCUUUAAUAAGCAGCUAAAGGAGUCCAGCGCCCCUCCAUUCUUGUAGCCAGUCCUAGCUGGAUGGCUAUUUGGGAAUCAGGAAGGCAGGGAACCUAAGUUCUCUAUUUCCUGCCUAGACACUGGCCAUGAGGCCAUGCUCUCUAUCCUGGAAAGCCCUUAAUACCAUAGGACGGAAGGUAUUUUCUGCCUGAAAGAUAUCAUUAUUGAACAAAAGGGGAGGGAAAACAGAAAAAGGGCAUCAAAGCCUAAACAAAUAACAUCAGCAUGAAAUCUUUAAUGAAUGGCUCAUCCAAUGCGAUCUACUGAAAUCCAGAAGGUUUAGUAAAAGAUGCCUUAAACCCAGUUUAUACUGCAAAUCGACCAUGAAGAAAAGUCAACACCAAGUUAAUCCCAUUUAAUAAUUCAGUUUCGGGAUGUUAAAACAUAUUUCUCUCUUGGAGUUUCAGCAUGUAUGUCUGAUAACAGGGCAACCAAGAAGCACACUCAAAAAAAGAGAGCAGUAUUCUUUUAGUAACUAUACUGUACUAUUAGCGACUUGCAAGAGGUAGCAGUUAGUUCUUCCUGAUCCCUUACUUUAUCUCCCAAAUCCCUUCUUUUCUCCCUGACCUCCCCCGAGAGAGGGAAAUUUUAAGCCUGGCUUUGGAGCCUAGCCUUGACCCAGUGUGACUGUGGGGUCACUGUUUCUGACACCUAGGCCUGGCUGCUCAAGAAUCUUGGGUGGGAUAAGAGCCAUUGGGUCAGGAGACUCUUUCUCAGACCCUUUUGGGAAGAGUCAGUAUCAUGGUGCUUCUGAUCUCACUAGACACCUUGCAGAGCAUGCCCCCAACGGGUGGUCCCAGGCCAACUCCUUCACCUGUCCAAUCCUCAGAACCCCUACAACUCUCAGCUGACAUCCUGAGCAUUCGCCAAAUCAUCUUGAGCUUGGAGCUGACCAGAGCCUGCCAUCAAUUAAAAUAUGCUCACAACCUUAGGCCUGAUGUGUGACCGGUUUACUUAACUCCCCGCUUAACUUUCUGGAAAGGGCUUUCUCAUCUCUAAUGUUCACUUGGAUUGGGGCAGUUUCCAAGACUUUCCUCAACAGAGUUGCUCAGACUCGCAAGAAAAUGCCUAACUCAUCCUUCUUUCCCAUCAAAACCUUGAGCUGACCCAAGUUAAGGGCUCUUCUUUCUCCCAAGCCUCCCUUACUUUUACUACAGAGAAAACUCUAGAGUGAAAGUGGUUCUCAUCAGCUGUUCUCAGAAGAGCAGCACUUUAUGCAUACAUCAAGCUGGAGGACCAACGGUCAAGUCAUAACUGACCACAAAACAGCCUCAGCUCCUCCCUGAGGCUCCCUGCUUCCCUGCUCCCCAUGACAGCUCCCUGGAUGCUUUUGCAGUGCUUGCAACUGCACAGAAGAGAAAUUAAAAGCAAAUUUGCAUCACCUUUGCUCACUGCUAGAGCGCUCAGUUUUAAUUUGCAUUUUAUUUGCAGAGCACUUGCAUAUAAUAUUGUAGAAAUGCCGAGAACUCUCCCUUCCCCCUUUUCACCCUGCCUGCUUCUCCUCAUUCAUGAUUCCCAGGAUGCCUGUGAACCCAGGUAUAUUACAGAGGGACUUAGCACACUGGGGAGCUAAAGUAGAGAAACUCCAGGUUGCAUCUAAGGGCUAGAGGAUCUGAGGGGCAGGCGUUUGACAGCAGUAGGCUCAAUCUGUAAUGAAAUGGAGCCCAGAUAUCUACUUUCCUUAUUUAUGAAAUCAUAGGAAAAUUCUCCUCACUGCCCACUGUGCAAAUAUGCAUGAUGCUGACACAAAACCACCAACUCUCAGGACCGGCUUAACACAAUUCCAAACCUGGUGAGAACCCGUGGGGCAGCUAUACUGUGCCAUCUGUGGAAACCCCUGAUGGUCAUUUUAAUAUCCCUUCCCCUUUAACACGUGAACUUUCCACUGCUCUGGUUCUAUUGGGUGUUACACCCACCUGCCUCUCGUCCCACCUGGCAUCUAUAUGGUUGAAUACCUGACUCCAGAGCCCCCCAUCCCUGCACAACAUUUGGCUUACACCAAAACUAGCCUGAGUCCAAGAUUACACUCCCGACAACAGACACACACACACACACUUCUCUGCCAGUAUAAUACUAUAACACAUUAUGAUUUCUGUAAGACCUAACGUUUACUAACAUCACACACACAGAGGACAAGGAGCUGGGAAAUGCACUGCAUCAUGCCAAGCUAACGUUCCCGCUUACUCAAUGCCCAUUCCAAGAAGUGCCCUUCUCCCUGUUUACCCAGACAGGCAGCUUCCAAUCUGAGGAAAUUCGGUGUUAAAAAAACAAACAAACAAAAAGGUGAGAAUGCUCUGCUAAAUAUGGUCCUCCAGUGUCAAAAAUGACAGCCAGGUUCCAAGAUGUACUUUUAAAAGAAAACAAAAUCAAGCAAUGAGGAUAGUGAACACAGAAA